GCUGGAGUGGCUCAGUUGGUUAAGUGUCUGACUUCAGCUCAGGUCAUGGUCUCAUGGUUCACGGGUUCAAGCCCCGUGUCAGGCU
Transfer RNA from Felis catus (domestic cat), 85 nucleotides. It matches the Rfam family "tRNA". From Rfam's summary of the family: Transfer RNA (tRNA) molecules are approximately 80 nucleotides in length. Their secondary structure includes four short double-helical elements and three loops (D, anti-codon, and T loops). NCBI's taxonomy places the organism in Eukaryota, Metazoa, Chordata, Mammalia, Carnivora, Felidae. The record is from Rfam.